This 254-nucleotide ribosomal RNA is filed under the name uncultured bacterium. RNAcentral describes it as "partial 16S ribosomal RNA". It matches the Rfam family "Bacterial small subunit ribosomal RNA", at positions 524 to 776 of the family's 1533-position model. The record is from RNAcentral.
UACGGGGGGAGCAAGCGUUGUUCGGAUUUACUGGGCGUAAAGGGCGCGUAGGCGGCCACCGCAAGUCGACUGUGAAAUCUCCGGGCUUAAUCCGGAAAGGUCAGCCGAUACUGCGGGGCUAGAGUGCAGAAGGGGCAACUGGAAUUCUCGGUGUAGCGGUGAAAUGCGUAGAUAUCGAGAGGAACACCUGCGGCGAAGGCGGGUUGCUGGGCUGACACUGACGCUGAGGCGCGAAAGCUAGGGGAGCGAACGGG